AAAGCUCGUAGUUGAAUUUCUGACUUCGGAUGUCGGUCAGCCCCAAGGGGUUUGUACCUGACUGUUCGGAGUCAUCCUCGAGAUGAAGAUGUCUGUCAUUAAGUUGAUGGGCAUGGGAUUCUCGUCGUUUACUGUGAGUAAAAUAGAGUGUUCAAAGCAGACAUUAUGUCAUUGAUACGUUAGCAUGGAAUAAUAAGAU
Molecule: ribosomal RNA, 199 nt
Filed under: uncultured heterokont
Lineage: Eukaryota
Description: partial 18S ribosomal RNA
Rfam family: Eukaryotic small subunit ribosomal RNA
Source: RNAcentral